GUGAGCUGGGUUUAGACCGUCGUGAGACAGGUUAGUUUUACCCUACUGUUGACCCGAUCCCGCCAUAGUAAUUCGGCUCAGUACGAGAGGAACCGCCGGGUCUGAUAAUUGGUAAUGCGCUCGGCUGAAAAGCCGAUGGCGCAAAGCUAACAUCGGUAGGCUAAUGACUGAACGCCUCUAAGUCAGAAGCCAUGCUAGGUGCGGGGUCUCAUUUCCCACCGUCGCUCACCCGUCUAAGGAUACGUCGCGUUCAUCGCGAUGCAAGAGCUUAUCCGUUCAUUCUAAUGACAAUUCCGAUCGGCGUUGGGGUAAAUCCUUUGCAGACGACUUUGCUCGAACUGGGUAUUGUAAGUGGCAGAGUGGCCUUGCUGCUACGAUCCACUGAGAUUCAGCCCGUGUU
RNAcentral lists this ribosomal RNA (400 nucleotides) under Ditylum brightwellii. Its description in RNAcentral is "partial Eukaryotic large subunit ribosomal RNA". It matches the Rfam family "Eukaryotic large subunit ribosomal RNA", at positions 2952 to 3389 of the family's 3401-position model. Lineage: Eukaryota; Bacillariophyta; Thalassiosirophyceae; Lithodesmiales; Lithodesmiaceae. The record is from RNAcentral.